RNAcentral lists this ribosomal RNA (529 nucleotides) under uncultured bacterium. Its description in RNAcentral is "bacterial SSU rRNA". It matches the Rfam family "Bacterial small subunit ribosomal RNA", at positions 980 to 1509 of the family's 1533-position model. The record is from RNAcentral.
CUUGACAUCCAGAGAACUUUCCAGAGAUGGAUUGGUGCCUUCGGGAACUCUGAGACAGGUGCUGCAUGGCUGUCGUCAGCUCGUGUUGUGAAAUGUUGGGUUAACGUCCGCAACGAGCGCAACCCCUAUCCUUUGUUGCCAGCGAUUCGGUCGGGAACUCAAAGGAGACUGCCGGUGAUAAACCGGAGGAAGGUGGGGAUGACGUCAAGUCAUCAUGGCCCUUACGAGUAGGGCUACACACGUGCUACAAUGGCGUAUACAAAGAGAAGCAACCUCGCGAGAGCAAGCGGACCUCAUAAAGUACGUCGUAGUCCGGAUUGGAGUCUGCAACUCGACUCCAUGAAGUCGGAAUCGCUAGUAAUCGUAGAUCAGAAUGCUACGGUGAAUACGUUCCCGGGCCUUGUACACACCGCCCGUCACACCAUGGGAGUGGGUUGCAAAAGAAGUAGAUAGCUUAACCUUCGGGAGGGCGUUUACCACUUUGUGAUUCAUGACUGGGGUGAAGUCGUAACAAGGUAGGCGUAGCGAG